This 637-nucleotide ribosomal RNA is filed under the name Salmonella enterica subsp. enterica serovar Infantis. RNAcentral's name for it is "partial 23S ribosomal RNA". It matches the Rfam family "Bacterial large subunit ribosomal RNA", at positions 711 to 1344 of the family's 2925-position model. Lineage: Bacteria; Pseudomonadati; Pseudomonadota; Gammaproteobacteria; Enterobacterales; Enterobacteriaceae. The record is from RNAcentral.
AGACCCGAAACCCGGUGAUCUAGCCAUGGGCAGGUUGAAGGUUGGGUAACACUAACUGGAGGACCGAACCGACUAAUGUUGAAAAAUUAGCGGAUGACCUGUGGCUGGGGGUGAAAGGCCAAUCAAACCGGGAGAUAGCUGGUUCUCCCCGAAAGCUAUUUAGGUAGCGCCUCGUGAAUUCAUCUCCGGGGGUAGAGCACUGUUUCGGCUAGGGGGCCAUCCCGGCUUACCAACCCGAUGCAAACUGCGAAUACCGGAGAAUGUUAUCACGGGAGACACACGGCGGGUGCUAACGUCCGUCGUGAAGAGGGAAACAACCCAGACCGCCAGCUAAGGUCCCAAAGUCAUGGUUAAGUGGGAAACGAUGUGGGAAGGCCCAGACAGCCAGGAUGUUGGCUUAGAAGCAGCCAUCAUUUAAAGAAAGCGUAAUAGCUCACUGGUCGAGUCGGCCUGCGCGGAAGAUGUAACGGGGCUAAACCAUGCACCGAAGCUGCGGCAGCGACACUCAGGUGUUGUUGGGUAGGGGAGCGUUCUGUAAGUCUGCGAAGGUGGCCUGUGAGGGUUGCUGGAGGUAUCAGAAGUGCGAAUGCUGACAUAAGUAACGAUAAAGCGGGUGAAAAGCCCGCUCGCCGGAAGA